UGACAUCACCCUUCAUCCAUCAACUUUCUCCCACAAACAAUCUCACUGCACUGAGAGAUGGCUGUGGAAGGACAAGGACUUUCUGGGAAACUCCCAGGAUAGUGAGUCUAGCUGAGAAAAACUCCAGGCUGAAGCCACCUGGCACUGGUUCUAGGUCAAUGUUGGGGGUUUGUGUCAGGGACAAGGGCCUGCACAGAUCAGGGAGGACUUGCUGGUCAUGCAGGACCUCCAAAAAGCCAAGGCCAGGCAUGGCUUACCUAGGGGAGCCCAGGUUUUUUUUUGGCAUCUCAGAGGGAAUCACCAUUUGCUGCCUCAGCUUAGAUCUGUAUACUGAUCCACUGGGUCAACUCUGGAUUUGACAGGCCCUUCUAAUUAAAGGGCAGGAAGUAAUUAGAACCUCAUCCAGGCCCAUAUCUCCGCAGAUGAGUCCACUUCAGGGAGGGUUGUUCUGAAGAUUUUGCAAGUUGGAGAGACAAGGAUCCUGGGGCCAAACUGGGCCUACUGAGUCUAACCCCUCAUGUCAGAGCUGAGGAAAAAGAGACCCAGAGGUUCUGUGACACCUGGCCCCCCGCCAGGUCUUGGUGAAUGGCGAAGUCAGCACGAAGCUUCAGAUCCUCCCCAGGUGAUCUUCUACAAUUCAGUGCCGCCCAUGAUGACAAAUACGAAAGCUUGUUUAAAAGGUCCAGCUAGAAGGGCCUUUGAGGGGACAGGAAUUCUGGCUCCUUGACAGUUGGCAUAGUCAAAAGGAUGUUUUAAGUCACUGGACACCAGUCACUCCGACGCUGCUGGAGCUGAAAUCUCCUGGGACAUCUGACACACAGCUGGCAGAAGGACAUGAUUGGAAGCCUUAGUUAUAUUACAAAGGCUUUGGCUGGAAUGUCGUAUUUGAGAGAGGUGUGCAUAGACUCAGAUAUGAACAGACAGCCUUAAGGAACUAAGCCUGACUUUAUGGAGCCAAUAAAACCCCUUGGAAAAUAUCAGCCUGGUGCAUUGCUUACAAAGGUCCCAGCAGCCUCACCAGGUGAAUAAAGAAGGUCACUCCCUGGCAGGUGCAGGAAGCUCAGGAUGUUCUGGGGACCUCGAGAAGAGAGGAAUUCACCCAAGUCUGUAAGUAUUGCAGAUUAAGUCAGAUGGCAAGUAUUUGGCUUGACUUCUGGCCUUAAGAGGCUAUUAAAAGUUCAUUCUAGAGAUUCCUUAUGAAAAGUUCCAACAAAGCAGAGUUUUAAAAGCCUAUAUGUGUAAAUAAUCAGGCCACUUUUUUUUUUUUUUUUUGGAAACUAGACUUAUUUUGCAAACAAACUAGUGUUAAUCUGGCUACCGUUGGUAAAAAUGAGGGUGAUUAUAGAGAAAAUAUGUUUCGAUAACACACCUUUGUAAAUAGUAAAUUUUAACACUAUUUAUUACUAGCUGGCCUAAAUCCUGAUUUCUUCUAGUGUUCUCCAGUGCCAGGCUACAACUCUCCAAACUAAUGUUUUUGAAUGUUCUCCCACCUUUCUGACUUGGAAUCAUUUGAGAACUAAAACUUCCCUCUUCCUUGAAGCCCUGCAAACUUAAUAUAAAAUCGCUUGGUGUAAACUUCAGAGAAAUUGCCACCAUGGCUCAUGUCUAGUCAAUCUUUGUACCUACUGCACUGUGGGCCACUCAACAGAUUGCUAGAGACAUGUGAGCUACAAACCAGGAGAAUCUGUCGCAUUGCCACGGCCUGCCUUCACUCUGUCUGAAGAUGCUCGGAGCCUGACAUCUAGAAGUCUUGUCAGCUGGCUGGCUCAGAACUCAGAGACAGGUUUAUAAUCUGAUCUAAUCAUUAACCGCUGCUUUUCUUUUAUUUCCGUAGAAAGGCUUCUUAUCUAAUACCUGAUUACUUGAACCAUAGGCCUAGCUUGGAGAAACGCCACCUUCUGAAACGAGUUCAACUAAGCUGACCUAUUAUCAAGACUCAGGGGAGUGGUUCGGUGAGACGAAACAAUCUACCAGCUCAACUUUUAAUGUGUCAACCAUCAGGAAGUUUCAGGGGACGGAACUGUGAGGGCCAAAGACAGGCUGUCCCAAGAUGGGCCACUUUGGUAUGAAGACUAUUUUGAGCUGAAAGCAGUCGAGACCCUCUAGGUCAAGAGGAAGUCUUUGCUCCUCCCUGAGCUGCAUAGGAGAAUCUAAAUUGGAAAUCUUUCCCAGAAUAACGGUUAUUACCACAGAUACAUUUAUCUGCAUGACCCAUCUGUAGGGCAGGGCAGACAUCUAAGUACCAAACACCUGCUCCUUUUCUUACUGCCCUGUCAACUGCAUUUUUUCCCUUCAAAGUCCCAGACUCCUACCCCUUCUCCUCACCUCAGGAUGGCAUACAGACCUCAUUUGGCCUGACUGUCUGGAAUUUCCAUGUCUGUAUGGAUUCCCUGUAUGUAUGCUAUUAAAUUUGAUUUUCUCCUUUUGAUCCAUCCAUGUCAGUUUGAUUCUUAGUCCAGCUGGAAGGACCUUUGCGAGGACAGGUAUUCUUGCUCCCCGACAUUACUCUGAGGUAAACAUUCUCUCCCAUUUCACCCUUCACAAAAUCUCCAAGGAAAUGUUCCAAACCCCAGGGCCCUGGGGCCUCAGAGAAGGGCCUGCUUCUCCUUGGGUCAUAUAGACGUUCCCAUGACUGCAAGUUGUCUUGCAGAAUUCCACAAACAAAGCCAAUCUCACAUAGUGCUGAUAAAACAGGCAUUUAUCUAAUGGCAUUUUUAGAGCAGAGGUGAAGGGACACAUGCUCACGGUGUCACAAUCUUUGCAGAAAUUGUUGCUGGAAGUCAGGUGGAUACCACACGCGUUUCCUGGCAUUGCUGGCGGCCAUCCUGGCCCUCCUGCUCAGCUGUCCUCAGGGUGAAAUGCCCUCCUCAGAUUCAGAAGGGAGAACCCCUCCCCACUCUGCUGCCUGCCUGUCCCCCAAAGUUGUGUUUGUUGCCCUUGCAGAUCUCUGCUUGGUCUGUGGACCUCAAUGCUUAGAGUCCUUCCACCCAAGCUGCCAGAUGCUGGUUCAGAAGUCCAUUUCCCUCCCCCACCCCCCCCCCACCCUCAACACUCCCCACAGGCCACUGUUACCUUUCUCACUCCCCUCCUCAUCUUCAAAAGCCAGCUGGGCCCACUUCACUAUCAUUGCUGAGACAUCAGCUUAAGAAAUGAAACCCCCGACCCUUCCUUUUCUUCUGAGCCAGCAUUCCAGGCCAGCUGGGAGGGGAAAGGUCAGCCUUUAGUUGCCUUUCUCCUCUGGGACCUGAGAUUUCAUUCAUUUCCCCUUCAUUUCUGGAAUGUUGCUUCCCCAUCUGCUCUUGUGGCAGCACACAGGUUUUACCUGCUCUGCUUCCCAAGCUUUUAUGGAAGUUGUCUCAGCCUUCUCUGGCUCUCCCACUCUCUGGGAAUGUUUUAUAAAGUUGCGGCUGUCACGUUUCUCCCAAUUAUUAAAGCACAAGGACACUAACCUGACAUCCAUUGAAGCCCCAACCCAGUGCUCUCCCGGUCACCACAAAUGACCUCUGUUCCUCCUCUGGCUUUUCUUGAGCCUGGGAGAAAUGAAAUUCCAACUUUCUUUGCUAUUAGCUACUUACAUGCAACAGCCAUACAGAUUCUGCUUCAUGAGAUAAUCCAUAUAUUUUAAGAAAAAGGUAACUCCAAGGACACAGUUAUCUUAGCUCUUAAUUAUUUCACUACUUACAAUAUUUUUUACCAAGAUAUUCAGCUUUUCAAGUAGAGUGCUCCUUCUCUGAAGAAACUUCAAAGUUUGCAGCACCCAUGACUCCUUCCACAAGAGGGCAACAAUUAAGGGUGGACGGCAGAACCUUUUUGGGGGCUGGUUGCUACUCUUCGUUACAAAAUUUUUGUUUGUUCAUUUUCAUUGGAAAAAGGCUUUGCUGAAUGUAAUUCGCCUUUCCAAUAACACAGCUCUUCCUUAUCUCUCUACACUGUGUUUAAAAGCACCUUGUCUAAACUCGUCUUAACUAGGCUGA
Molecule: long non-coding RNA, 3974 nt
Organism: Acinonyx jubatus (cheetah)
Lineage: Eukaryota; Metazoa; Chordata; Mammalia; Carnivora; Felidae
Exons: 4
Source: RefSeq, a predicted model, not a curated record